AGAGUUUUCGAGUCCCUAGGCUCAGAGCGAACGCUGACGGGCAGGCCUAACACAUGCAAAGUCGAACGAACUCUUCGGAGUUAGUGGCGGACGGGUGAGUAACACGUGGGACGUGCCUUUGGUUCGGAAUAACUCAGGGAAACUUGUGCUAAUACCGAAUGUGCCCUUCGGGGGAAAGAUUUAUCGCCAUUAGAGCGGCCCGCGUCUGAUUAGCUAGUUGGUGAGGUAAAGGGCUCACCAAGGCGACGAUCAGUAGCUGGUCUGAGAGGAUGAUCAGCCACAUUGGGACUGAGAUACGGCCCAAACUCCUACGGGAGGCAGCAGUGGGGAAUCUUGCGCAAUGGGCGAAAGCCUGACGCGGCCAUGCCGCGUGAAUGAUGAAGGUCUUAGGAUUGUAAAAUUCUUUCACCGGGGACGAUAAUGACGGUACCCGGAGAAGAAGCCCCGGCUAACUUCGUG
This 459-nucleotide ribosomal RNA is filed under the name uncultured Brevundimonas sp. RNAcentral describes it as "bacterial SSU rRNA". It matches the Rfam family "Bacterial small subunit ribosomal RNA", at positions 1 to 507 of the family's 1533-position model. The record is from RNAcentral. Lineage: Bacteria; Pseudomonadati; Pseudomonadota; Alphaproteobacteria; Caulobacterales; Caulobacteraceae.